UACGUAGGGUGCGAGCGUUAAUCGGAUUUACUGGGCGUAAAGCGUGCGCAGGCGGCCCGUUAAGACAGGUGUGAAAUCCCUGGGCUCAACCUAGGAAUUGCGCUUGUGACUGACGGGCUCGAGUACGGUAGAGGGGGGUGGAAUUCCUGGUGUAGCAGUGAAAUGCGUAGAGAUCAGGAGGAACACCGAUGGCGAAGGCAGCCCCCUGGGCCUGUACUGACGCUCAUGCACGAAAGCGUGGGGAGCAAACAGG
This 253-nucleotide ribosomal RNA is filed under the name uncultured microorganism. Its description in RNAcentral is "partial 16S ribosomal RNA". It matches the Rfam family "Bacterial small subunit ribosomal RNA", at positions 524 to 776 of the family's 1533-position model. The record is from RNAcentral.